GCAAUAUUGCACAUCAACAGCCUGUGAGGACACAAGAGACAAAAUAGCAGUACAACUGGCUGGAAUACAGGGGGUUAUUGGGAGAUUGUAGAACUCAUAUAAAGUUAAACACACAGAAGAUUUCGGAGAUGAGCAGAGAGAUUCCUAUCAUCAAAUACUGUGCAGAAUGCAUCCUGGGGGAAAGUGAGCGCGUAGGAGAGCUGGCAGCCAUGUGGGCAGUGUGCUCAUGGAGAAGGAAGGAGACUUUGCCAGGUUGAUGCCAACCAUCUGCCACUUCGCAGGCUUUCCUUUACCUGGAGCUGCUGACGACUCAAUACUGGCACACACAUCUUUAGAUAUACAGUGGCACAACAGAACUACAAAUAUGUGCAAUGCAAACAUGGAUGGAAGACAGGAGGAGUUGUUGAAACAAUAUUUAAGCAGACGGAUCAACUGCCAGAAUUUGAAUAACUCCCUCUUCACCUCGGGUGGCAAUAUUAACACGGUGCUGAUAAGAGGAAGGGCCUUAAUCUGUUCAGCACAUCUGGGCUUGUGUAUUCACAGCUGGCCAAAGAGAACUGCAAUUUUACUGUGCAUAUUUUCCCAGGGGUCUAAGUCAUCCCAGGUCAUUGUAAUUCCAUAAAGUUGGGAGUAAAAUAUGUACCAAAUACCCAGUUGACCGGUUCAGCCGCAAAUUCCAUACAAAUGUGUCUUACAUAAUAAAUGUUUAUAUCUAGAGAUAUGCUACUAUUGGACAGCCACAUGUUCAUUGGCACAACUUGGCAUAACUGUUCCAUGUUCCUUACUUUAAAACUCAUUUAAUUCCCCCUA
Molecule: long non-coding RNA, 810 nt
Organism: Scophthalmus maximus (turbot)
Lineage: Eukaryota; Metazoa; Chordata; Actinopteri; Pleuronectiformes; Scophthalmidae
Exons: 2
Source: RefSeq, a predicted model, not a curated record